Molecule: ribosomal RNA, 468 nt
Filed under: uncultured bacterium
Lineage: Bacteria
Description: partial 16S ribosomal RNA
Rfam family: Bacterial small subunit ribosomal RNA
Source: RNAcentral
GACGAACGCUGGCGGCGUGCUUAACACAUGCAAGUCGAACGGAAAGGCCCUGCUUUUGUGGGGUGCUCGAGUGGCGAACGGGUGAGUAACACGUGAGUAACCUGCCCUUGACUUUGGGAUAACUUCAGGAAACUGGGGCUAAUACCGGAUAGGAGCUCCUGCUGCAUGGUGGGGGUUGGAAAGUUUCGGCGGUUGGGGAUGGACGCGCGGCUUAUCAGCUUGUUGGUGGGGUAGUGGCUUACCAAGGCUUUGACGGGUAGCCGGCCUGAGAGGGUGACCGGCCACAUUGGGACUGAGAUACGGCCCAGACUCCUACGGGAGGCAGCAGUGGGGAAUAUUGCACAAUGGGCGGAAGCCUGAUGCAGCAACGCCGCGUGCGGGAUGACGGCCUUUGGGUUGUAAACCGCUUUCGCCUGUGACGAAGCGUGAGUGACGGUAAUGGGUAAAGAAGCACCGGCUAACUACGUG